Molecule: transfer RNA, 67 nt
Filed under: Mileewa lamellata
Lineage: Eukaryota; Metazoa; Arthropoda; Insecta; Hemiptera; Cicadellidae
Description: tRNA-Ser
Source: RNAcentral
AAGGAAUUAUGAUAAUGAAACAGCUGCUAACUGAAUUCUUAAGCGGUUUAAUUCCGUUUGUUCCUUA